Molecule: ribosomal RNA, 492 nt
Filed under: uncultured bacterium
Lineage: Bacteria
Description: partial 16S ribosomal RNA
Rfam family: Bacterial small subunit ribosomal RNA
Source: RNAcentral
AGUGAACGCUGGCGGUAGGCCUAACACAUGCAAGUCGAACGGCAGCACAGUAAGAGCUUGCUCUUACGGGUGGCGAGUGGCGGACGAGUGAGGAAUACAUCGGAAUCUACUUUUUCGUGGGGGAUAACGUAGGGAAACUUACGCUAAUACCGCAUACGACCUACGGGUGAAAGCAGGGGAUCUUCGGACCUUGCGCGAUUGAAUGAGCCGAUGUCGGAUUAGCUAGUUGGCGGGGUAAAGGCCCACCAAGGCGACGAUCCGUAGCUGGUCUGAGAGGAUGAUAAGCGACACUGUAACUGAGAGACGGUCCAGACUCCUAAGGGAGACAGAACUGGGGAAUAUUGGACAAUGGGCGCAAGACUGAUACAGCCCUAGCGCGUGGGGGAAAAAGAGCUUCGGGUUUUAAAGCCCUUUUUUUGGGAAAAAAAAGCAGCGGAUUAAUACACCGCUGUGUUGUCAGUACCCCAAGAAUAAGAACCGGCUCACUUCGUG